UACGUAGGGUCCGAGCGUUAAUCGGAAUUACUAGGCGUAAAGCGUGCGCAGGCGGUUUUGUAAGCCAGAUGUGAAAGCCCCGGGCUUAACCUGGGAAUGGCAUUUGGGACUGCAAGGCUGGAGUACGGCAGAGGGAGGUGGAAUUCCAGGUGUAGCAGUGAAAUGCGUAGAGAUCUGGAGGAACACCGAUGGCGAAGGCAGCCUCCUGGGCUAGUACUGACGCUCAUGCACGAAAGCGUGGGGAGCAAACAGG
This 253-nucleotide ribosomal RNA is filed under the name uncultured bacterium. RNAcentral's name for it is "partial 16S ribosomal RNA". It matches the Rfam family "Bacterial small subunit ribosomal RNA", at positions 524 to 776 of the family's 1533-position model. The record is from RNAcentral.